RNAcentral lists this ribosomal RNA (253 nucleotides) under uncultured bacterium. RNAcentral describes it as "partial 16S ribosomal RNA". It matches the Rfam family "Bacterial small subunit ribosomal RNA", at positions 524 to 776 of the family's 1533-position model. The record is from RNAcentral.
UACAGAGGGUGCGAGCGUUAAUCGGAAUUACUGGGCGUAAAGCGCACGUAGUCGGCUUUGCAAGUCGGGUGUGAAAUCCCCGGGCUCAACCUGGGAACUGCAUCCGAGACUGCAUUGCUAGAGUAUGGGAGAGGGAAGCGGAAUUUCUGGUGUAGCAGUGAAAUGCGCAGAUAUCAGGAGGAACACCAAUGGCGAAGGCAGCUCGCUGGGACGUGACUGACGCUGAGGAGCGAAAGCGUGGGGAGCGAACAGG